UUCAUUAUUAAUGUUCUUUAUUAUUUCUUUAAAUAAAAGUUACAAAAUUUCCUAAUAAGGCUAAAAUAUAUAUGGCAAUUAAUCAUUUUGAAUAAUAAAGAUUUGAUAAAAUUUAAUGUAUCUUCUAUCAUAAUUGUUUAAUUUUAAACUAUUAAAAUAAGUUAAACAACCACAUUAACUAUAUAAUAAAAAUUUAGAUUUUUCUGUAUAUGUUAUAAUUUAAAUUUUAAAAACGACUAUAAAUUACUAAAACUGUUAAAAGUCUCACAUUUAAAUUUUGUGAUCCAUGGUUUAAAAUUUUUGUUAUGAAAAAAUACAAAUUUUUACAAAAUUAUAUAAGUAAAAGGUCCAAUUUAAUCAAUUAUUAAUAUUAAAAGAUAUAUAUUUAUAUAUCGUUUUAAAAUUUUAAAAUGGUAAAUUUUUUUAAAACAUAGUUUCAAAAAUAAUUUUCGAAUUUCAAACUAAAAUUUGAAAAAAAGGGCAAAUCUCCAAACUAGCACAUUUCUAAGUUUAUGUCACAAAAAUAGCUCUUAAAAACUAAAAUGACCAAAAUAACAUUUUAUCUUUUGAAAAAUUUAUUUAUUUUUUAUUUUUCAAAAUUUGAAAUCUUAUCCCAAAAUCUCACUCUCCAACUCUAAACCCUAAACCCUAAACUCUAAACCUUAAACCCUAAACCCUAAAUCCUAAACCCCACCCCUUAACUCUAAACCCUAAACCCUAAACCCCACUCCUAAACUCUAAACCUUAAAUCAUAAACUCUAAACCCUAAAUCCUAAACCCUAAAUCCUAAACCCUAAAUCCUAAACUCCACCCCUUAACUCUAAAUCCUA
This 830-nucleotide long non-coding RNA is filed under the name Brassica napus (rape). RNAcentral describes it as "long non-coding RNA (BNAP_LNC011294)". The record is from RNAcentral. Lineage: Eukaryota; Viridiplantae; Streptophyta; Magnoliopsida; Brassicales; Brassicaceae.